RNAcentral lists this ribosomal RNA (397 nucleotides) under uncultured bacterium. RNAcentral's name for it is "bacterial SSU rRNA". It matches the Rfam family "Bacterial small subunit ribosomal RNA", at positions 28 to 430 of the family's 1533-position model. The record is from RNAcentral.
GACGAACGCUGGCGGCGUGCUUAACACAUGCAAGUCGAGCGGUAAGGCCCUUUCGGGGGUACACGAGCGGCGAACGGGUGAGUAACACGUGGGUGACCUGCCCUCAGCUCUGGGAUAAGCCUGGGAAACUGGGUCUAAUACUGGAUAUGACUCCACGGUGCAUGUCGUGGGGUGGAAAGCCUUGUGCGGCUGAGGAUGGGCCCGCGGCCUAUCAGCUUGUUGGUGGGGUGAUGGCCUACCAAGGCGACGACGGGUAGCCGGCCUGAGAGGGCGACCGGCCACACUGGGACUGAGACACGGCCCAGACUCCUACGGGAGGCAGCAGUGGGGAAUCUUGCGCAAUGGGCGAAAGCCUGACGCAGCGACGCCGCGUGAGGGAUGACGGCCUGGUGUAACU